UACGUAGGGGGCGAGCGUUGUCCGGAAUUACUGGGCGUAAAGAGCACGUAGGCGGUUCGUUAAGUCAGCUGUGAAAUCCCUCGGCCCAACCGAGGGGGGUCAGCUGAUACUGGCGGGCUUGAGGGAGGCAGGGGGAAGCGGAAUUCCCGGAGUAGUGGUGAAAUGCGUAGAUACCGGGAGGAACACCAGUGGCGAAGGCGGCUUCCUGGGCUUUUCCUGACGCUGAGGUGCGAAGGCGUGGGGAGCGAAC
Molecule: ribosomal RNA, 250 nt
Filed under: uncultured bacterium
Lineage: Bacteria
Description: partial 16S ribosomal RNA
Rfam family: Bacterial small subunit ribosomal RNA
Source: RNAcentral